This 224-nucleotide long non-coding RNA is filed under the name Lathyrus oleraceus (garden pea). RNAcentral describes it as "Pisum sativum (pea) long non-coding RNA (PSAT_LNC007735)". The record is from RNAcentral. Lineage: Eukaryota; Viridiplantae; Streptophyta; Magnoliopsida; Fabales; Fabaceae.
UUGGAUGAUUGAUUUCGUUUCUUGAAUUCAUGUUGAAUUUCUGAAUCAAAAUUGUAACAAAAUCACAUUUUUUGAUUUUGCGGGAUUGAGAUAUAUUAGUGUUUGGUGAGAUAUGAGUGAUUUGCACAAGGUUGAAGAUGAACAUAAACGGUAAUAUGAGUACUAAGCUUCUAGUGUUCGAUGGUAAGAACUGGAAUUAUUGGAUGAUUCAAAUGCAUGUGUUG